GACGAACGCUGGCGGCGUGCCUAACACAUGCAAGUCAACUUGACUGAAGGAGCAAUCUGACAGUAGAGUGGCGCAAGGGUGCGUAACGCGUAAGUAACUUGCCCAAGGUAAGGAAUAACGUCGAGAAAUCGGCGCUAAUACCUCAUAAUGCAGCGGAUCCGCAUGGAUAUGUUGUUAAAGGUUUACCGCCUUGGGAUAGGCUUGCGUCUGAUUAGUUAGUUGGUGUGGUAACGGCACACCAAGGCUACGAUCAGUAACUGGUCUGAGAGGAUGAUCAGUCACACUGGAACUGAGACACGGUCCAGACUCCUACGGGAGGCAGCAGUGAGGAAUAUUGGGCAAUGCUCGAAAGAGUGACCCAGCAACGCCGCGUGGAGGAUGAAGGUAUUCUAUAUCGUAAACUCCUGUGAGAGCAGACGAAAGACAGAUUAUUAAUCUGGAUGACUGUAUGCUCAGAGGAAGCCCCGGCUAACU
RNAcentral lists this ribosomal RNA (474 nucleotides) under uncultured bacterium. Its description in RNAcentral is "bacterial SSU rRNA". It matches the Rfam family "Bacterial small subunit ribosomal RNA", at positions 28 to 502 of the family's 1533-position model. The record is from RNAcentral.